Molecule: ribosomal RNA, 467 nt
Filed under: uncultured bacterium
Lineage: Bacteria
Description: partial 16S ribosomal RNA
Rfam family: Bacterial small subunit ribosomal RNA
Source: RNAcentral
AGCGAACGCUGGCGGUAGGCCUAACACAUGCAAGUCGAACGGCAGCUCAGUAAGAGCUUGCUCUUACGUGUGGCGAGUGUCGGACGGGUGCGGAAUACAUCGUAAUCUACUUUUUCGUGGGGGCUAACGUCGGGAAACUUACGCUAAUACCGCAUACGACCUACGGGUGAAAGCAGGGGAUCUUCGGACCUAUCGCGAUUGAAUGAGCCCAAGAUGGAUUAGCUAGUUGGCUGGGUAAAGACCCACCAAGGCGACGAUCGGUAGCUGGUCUGGGAGGAUGAUCAGGCACACUGGGACUGAGACACGGCCCAGACUCCUACGGGAGGCAGCAGUGGGGAAUAUUGGACAAUGGGCGAAAGCCUGAUCCAGAAAUGCCGCGUGAGUGAUGAAGGCCUUAGGGUUGUAAAGCUCUGUUACCCGGGAUGAUAAUGACAGUACCGGGGGAAUAAGCUCCGGCUAACUCCGUG